RNAcentral lists this ribosomal RNA (379 nucleotides) under uncultured eukaryote. RNAcentral's name for it is "partial 18S ribosomal RNA". It matches the Rfam family "Eukaryotic small subunit ribosomal RNA", at positions 592 to 975 of the family's 1831-position model. The record is from RNAcentral.
CAAUAGCGUAUAUUAAAGUUGUUGCGGUUAAAAAGCUCGUAGUUGGAUUUCUGCCGAGGACGACCGGUCCGCCCUCCGGGUGAGUAUCUGGCUCGGCCUGGGCAUCUUCUUGGAGAACGUAACUGCACUUGGCUGUGUGGUGCGGUAUUCAGGACUUUUACUUUGAGGAAAUUAGAGUGUUUCAAGCAGGCACACGCCUUGAAUACAUUAGCAUGGAAUAAUAAGAUAGGACCUCGGUUCUAUUUUGUUGGUUUCUAGAUCUAAGGUAAUGAUUAAUAGGGAUAGUUGGGGGCAUUCGUAUUUAACUGUCAGAGGUGAAAUUCUUGGAUUUGUUAAAGACGGACUACUGCGAANGNAUUUGCNAAGGAUGUUUNCAUUG